Molecule: ribosomal RNA, 442 nt
Filed under: uncultured bacterium
Lineage: Bacteria
Description: partial 16S ribosomal RNA
Rfam family: Bacterial small subunit ribosomal RNA
Source: RNAcentral
CCUACGGGGGGCAGCAGUAGGGAAUCUUUCACAAUGGGCGAAAGCCUGAUGGAGCAACGCCGCGUGCAGGAUGAAGGCCUUCGGGUUGUAAACUGCUUUUAUAAGCGAGAAAUAUGAUGUUAACUUAUGAAUAAGGAUCGGCUAACUACGUGCCAGCAGCCGCGGUCAUACGUAGGAUCCGAGCAUUAUCCGGAGUGACUGGGUGUAAAGAGUUGCGUAGGUGGCAUAAUAAGUAGCUAGUGAAAUCUGGUGGCUCAACCAUUCAGACUAUUAGCUAAACUGUUAAGCUCGAGACCGUUAGGGGUAACUGGAAUUUCUAGUGUAGGAGUGAAAUCCGUAGAUAUUAGAAGGAACACCAAUAGCGUAGGCAGGUUGCUGGGACGGUUCUGACACUAAGGCACGAAAGCGUAGGGAGCAAACGGGAUUAGAUACCCCAGUAGUC